AGAGAGGGGAGCAGCCCCCGGGGCUGGGUCGGAAGAGUCUUCUGGGGCUCCAUUCCUCCACUCCGGGACUGAACCCCCAUAGAGCGAUUCCCAGCACCCCUCUGUGGCACUGAGCACAUCCAGGCUGCUGCCAGGGUGUGGUCCUUGGGUUUUCGAAUCUUUAUCGCCUGAAGCCUCGCCGUCUGACCGGCUCCGGGAUAGCCCAGGCCUUCAGCCUCCCAAACCAACCCUUACCCAAAGCCCGACUGAGGGAUCCCUACCUGGGGACCUUCAGCAAAUGUCCUUAGUGAGGGUAGCAGCUAAGCUGUCUUCUCUGCAGUAAGUCAUGUCUCCAGCUAUCAAUGCCUUUGUGGCUCUGGUCCCUAUAGGAAUUUAACCAGAACUACACCAUAUAGACUUAAUUAGUAAGGCCAAAGUCACACUGAUGUUGAAUCCAAAAAUUCACUUAAAAAGUAAUUAUUUAGAGACAGGAUUUCACUAUAUUCUUGAAAACUAGGGAAUACGGUACCUGCACAUAAGCUAGGAGAGCACUGCACUCAGCCCCUCUCCCCGUGGGACUCUGGAUUGCUCCUUUUGUGUGUGUGCUCAGGCGCCCACUACAAAUCUUUACUCAUAAGCUCUGUUUGGCCUAGAAGGGGCUAGAUGCUAAAUGAGUAGGGUUGAAAGAGAUGCUAUUUGAAUAAGUAAGAGGACCACUGACACAGGCACGUCCACACUACUCACACUAGAAUGUGAGCUUCCACUUUAUGUACACACAGGAUAAGUUACUUAUAGGAAUCCAUUUCUCCACCACAUGUGAUAGUACCAUAUUUUUUCCACUGUAAACACAAUCUCAAAACACAAACCUAAAACCUAAAGUACUCAUCCGUCCCCUGUCUCUCUCACCACCAACGCAGGCCCGGCUUGUGGCCCUUUGAGCAGAAGAGCCAAGGCUGAAAAUGCAGCUGUCGACCAUUAAAAACCAGAGCUCACUCUUGAUUUUUCUCCAUCAGCAAAGCUGUCACUGAGCCUCACAAUCGGCACCAAAAACGUGGGAUGAAUUAGCGAGGCAGAAGACUAAUGAGCAUAGGCCUUUUAUAGAUGGGCAUGAGGCUGUGUUACUGACAAAGGUAGGGUUCUCUAAAAACUCGGGGCAGCCAUUUAUUUACAAACAUUGUAAACAGUACAAGAUACUUGAGAGGUUUAAACAGUUAAUGUGAGAAAAAUACCAACAGGUCAUGACACUAAAUUCAACUGUUCCUGAUGUGAGGCGGAGCUCUAGAAACUGAACUCCAACUCUGGUUCAGUCGUCUUCCUACUGCUGUUCAUCCCAUUUCAUCCUUUCGAACCAGAAAAGACUUGAGAAACCUCCCCACAGCAGCUCUAGGAUGAACUGAAGUCUGCACAGUCCAGUCAGAUCUUCACAAGGAACUGGCUUCUAUCCAGCUUCCCCCUCUCUUUAAGAAUCCUGAGGAUUCACUACAAUACAGGACAAACACCUAUCCAGCUAUGUGGUACAAGAAGAAGGCAAGAGACCUGGGCCAGCUAUCCAAUCACUCUGCCCUUCGGGGUGCUCCUGAGGAAGACAAGACAUCUCUCACCGCACACUACACUGCUAGUGCCUGAUUAACUCCCUGUCCUUAAACUUCCUGAGAGCAGGGUUGGAAGGAUAGGAGGGCAGGGACAGACUGACUGUCCAAUGCCUGGUUGAGGGCCUGGCAAGAAGGUCUUCUGCAAAUAAUGAAUGGCAGGCCCACGGAAGUGACUGUUGAGGUGUGGGAUCUAAUACACGUGUUUAUUCAAUCAAUGCUUAUGGGUUUCUUUUGUUAAGAUAGUCUCACCAUAAAGUCCAGGCUGGCUUUCACCUUGAGAUCAUUCUGCCUCAGCCUCCCAAUGCUAGAUUUGCAUGGAUUAGCAUGACAUUUUUGGAAGGAGUUUUCUCCACUAAGGUUCAGUCAACUCGUAGAAUACCUAGUAUUUUUCAUAUAAAAUCCAGGAA
Molecule: long non-coding RNA, 1978 nt
Filed under: Mus pahari (shrew mouse)
Lineage: Eukaryota; Metazoa; Chordata; Mammalia; Rodentia; Muridae
Description: lncRNA (MGP_PahariEiJ_G0003013.1)
Source: RNAcentral